This is a long non-coding RNA of Sapajus apella (tufted capuchin), 1127 nucleotides long. RefSeq lists it as uncharacterized. NCBI's taxonomy places the organism in Eukaryota, Metazoa, Chordata, Mammalia, Primates, Cebidae. The transcript has 2 exons. The record is from RefSeq and is a predicted model, not a curated record.
UACACAGGAGGCUCUUUUGAGCCCAGGAGUUUGAAGCUGUAAAGAGCUGUGAUUGGGGCACUGGACUGCAGCCUGGGUGACAGAGUGAGAUCGUGUCUCAAAAAAACCAAAAAAAAAGGAAAAGACCCCUUCCAACCCCACCUUACCCAGGAAGAUUCUCCAUCCCUCCCCUUUCCACCCUCCAUAAAUCAAGUAGAAGUUUCAAAUUAUUUAUUCAUUCAGCAAACAUUUCAGAGUGAGCAGUCUAGUAACAAAUAUUUGGUAGAGAAAUGGACGUAUUAUUCCAACUCACCAUGCACCAAACUUUCUGUGGCUCACUCCAUCUUUUGCCCCUCUAGGGAGCUUUGGUGAUGUGGAUCUGCCCUGGGGCAGGAAAGGGGAAGCGGAGGCCAGCGUGGUGGCUCAAGCCUGUAAUCUCAGCACUUUGGGAGGCAGAGCCAUGUGGAUCACCUGAGGUCAUGAAGUGUGGAACUGAAGUGGCAUUGGGAAGGAGGUGACCCUGAGGCAAGAUGCUCUAAGCCCUCUGUCAUGACUGCAUAAGGGCUGCUGGAGGGCGCCUUGGCUGUGCCGCAGUGUUAGUGCUGGGAAAGCGCCCACUGUUUAGCCAGCUAGGAAAGCAGACGUCCAAAAUGGCCAAGACAUCUCCUUCUUGGGGGAGUUGGGAGAAAACUCCGCUUCUCUAAGCUCUUGUGGUAGGCCUGACGGCUGUCAGGAAAACUCACGGACAUCCGGGGGACUUAAUUGUCUCUAUGUGAUGCUGGGCUUCAGUGGUCACAUCCCAUGUCUACUUUCAUGUUCUGCUUCUGUACCUGGUUCCUCUUUUUCUUAGAAGAUAAGAAUUAGUAAUAGUAACAUAAAUCUUAAUGCCCUUGAUAUUUUUGACAAGUAUGCAAAAAGUGCUGAUGCAUUAAGUUUUCUCCUCGCCUUGGUUACUUGAAAGUCCCAGGCCCCUAUCUCCAAGACAUGUGAUUUACUUGAUCCUAUCACUGACCACCAAUGCCUCGCCCUACCCACCCUGCUCCCUGCUUUGUACUCAAUAAAAUCAGGGCGUCCAGGCACUUGGGGCCACUGCCAGACUGCACUUUGUUUGGCAGUGGACCCUUGGGCCCAAAUUCUGUUUUCUCUUU